RNAcentral lists this ribosomal RNA (253 nucleotides) under uncultured bacterium. RNAcentral's name for it is "partial 16S ribosomal RNA". It matches the Rfam family "Bacterial small subunit ribosomal RNA", at positions 524 to 776 of the family's 1533-position model. The record is from RNAcentral.
UACGGAGGGAGCUAGCGUUGUUCGGAAUUACUGGGCGUAAAGCGCGCGUAGGCGGCUUUGUAAGUUAGAGGUGAAAGCCCGGAGCUCAACUCCGGAACUGCCUUUAAAACUGCAUCGCUUGAAUCCAGGAGAGGUGAGUGGAAUUCCGAGUGUAGAGGUGAAAUUCGUAGAUAUUCGCAAGAACACCAGUGGCGAAGGCGGCUUACUGGUCCGGUUCUGACGCUGAGGCGCGAAAGCGUGGGUAGCAAACGGG